Molecule: transfer RNA, 90 nt
Filed under: Candidatus Buchananbacteria bacterium RIFCSPHIGHO2_01_FULL_47_11b
Lineage: Bacteria; Candidatus Buchananiibacteriota
Description: tRNA-Ser
Rfam family: tRNA
About the family: Transfer RNA (tRNA) molecules are approximately 80 nucleotides in length. Their secondary structure includes four short double-helical elements and three loops (D, anti-codon, and T loops).
Source: RNAcentral
GGAGAGGUGGCUGAGCGGUCGAAAGCGGCGCCGUGCUAAGGCGUUGAGCCUUCACAGGCUCCGUGGGUUCGAAUCCCACCCUCUCCGCCA